UACAGUCAGGAUUCUACUUCGUCAAAAUUAUCUCCCCAUUACGCCAGUUAAUUUUCACAAUCGUAGAAAUGGAAGCCAUUGUAGGGAUGACGCGCUGCCAAUUUUGCUCUUGAAAACCGAUAAAUUUAUCCGCAUAGCACCCAUUACGAUCCUUAUAUGUCAGUUGUAUUUUAAAAGACAAAUGUAUCUACUAGCUAAUGAGCAUCAGUUAAUGAUCUUGUCUGCAUUAAUUUAACUUAGAAUUAUUGUCUAAUCGGUUGUCAGGUGGAAUUUUUGAAAAUUCAUAAAUAUUUAAAAAAAUUCUAAUUAAAUAUUUCGUGGAAGGGCA
RNAcentral lists this long non-coding RNA (328 nucleotides) under Mytilus galloprovincialis (Mediterranean mussel). Lineage: Eukaryota; Metazoa; Mollusca; Bivalvia; Mytilida; Mytilidae. The record is from RNAcentral.